RNAcentral lists this long non-coding RNA (785 nucleotides) under Equus caballus (horse). Its description in RNAcentral is "lncRNA (ENSECAG00000057958.1)". The record is from RNAcentral. Lineage: Eukaryota; Metazoa; Chordata; Mammalia; Perissodactyla; Equidae.
AUGUUGGGAUUGUGCAAAAAGAAGAUAUUUGUCUGGAGUUUAUACUUAAAAAUAACUGUUGUUAAGCCAAAGAAUGUGGGGGUACUUCUUCUACACAGAUCCUCCUUCUGAAGAUGUUGGUCUUCUUCCUUGCCUGCCACCCCCUCCCACACUUGAUUCAAAUGGAAGGUUGACUUUCUUGGAUGGCAAGGAUUAUGUUCACUCUCCCCUUCUGGAACUGUUCUCUGUGGAUAUGUCCCGUGAUCGUCAGAUCAACAUUCUGAGCUUGUGCUUAGAAACCAUCUUUGGAGGGUGUCAAUGCAUCUUACAUAAUCACGAGUUUAUUUGUGACAGAAAAGAAAAAGCUAAAGACAGAUGGCAGAUAUGUAAUGCAAUGAGAAGACUUUGAUGAGACUCUUGGUCAAUCAAAUCAACUGUAAAUGGACUUCUUUGGAACAACUGGGGACAUUUAGAUACAGGUAUGUGGGAAAUGAUAUUAAGGAACUUCAUGGGUGGAAAAAUGGCACGGCUACAAAUGAAAAUAUCUACAAUGCUGAGAGAUGUGUACGAAAGUAUGAGAGGAGAUAUGACUGAGGUCUGGGACUUGCUUUAAAACACUUUAGUCGAGAAAAGUGAGGAAGAAAUGGAGUAGCUACGGCAAAAUCCUUGAGAAUUGUUGAAUUUGGAUGAUGGCAUAUAGGGCUCAGAAUGUUAUUCUUUCUACCUCUAUAUAUUUGAAUUUUUCAUAAUAAAAAAUGUUUAAAGACUUUGUUGAAGUACUUGCCCCAUUUUAAAAAGAGGAGAAG